This 697-nucleotide long non-coding RNA is filed under the name Zalophus californianus (California sea lion). Its description in RNAcentral is "lncRNA (ENSZCAG00015001509.1)". Lineage: Eukaryota; Metazoa; Chordata; Mammalia; Carnivora; Otariidae. The record is from RNAcentral.
AGUGGAAUGGACAUGAGAGCCAUUGACAGAUCACCAACAUGGUGAUUCAUUUGAAAGUUCACAAUGUAGUGCAUUAGCAGAAAAUGGUUGAUGUACCCUGCUUCAACUCUGAUGAACACAGGAGCUCCAGAGCCAAGCUGCAGUGCUGCAUUCCCAACUGCUCACCAGAUGUCUAAGCCAAGAUACGCCAUCAUCAGCUCAAACUCAUCAUUCUCAAACCAAACUUCUCAAUUUCUACUGCAAGCCACUCAUGACUCCUGACCUUCCUGUUUUUGUUAAACACACCACUACUCCUCCAACUCUAAAAGAAUAAACACAUCUAUGUCAAAGAAGAAAUCUUUCCCCUCAAUGGAAUCUUAUCCAGAUAAUAGAGAUGGAACUAAGACAGAAGCUGGCAGAGACCUCAGAGGAGGAUGUACAUACCUAUACACAUGCCACUGAACAAAAGUCAUGAGAGUUCCAUCCUGAAGAAAAAUCACUCCCUAGUUUGAUUAAGCCUCCAUAUCCAAUUCAUGUGAAAAUAUUAAAUUCAGUUACUUGUAAAUUAUAAAAUGCUAUACAAAUAUAGCAUGGCAAUUCAUAGUAGCAUAUAAAACCAAUACCAACAAUUCAUUCUGCUAAUUCAAAUUUAGAUAAAAAGUGUCUAUUAAUUUUAAAAACAAAUUAACAUGCAAAUGAUAUAUUAUAGAGAAAAGCA